Long non-coding RNA from Phacochoerus africanus (Common warthog), 1251 nucleotides. RefSeq lists it as uncharacterized. The record is from RefSeq and is a predicted model, not a curated record. NCBI's taxonomy places the organism in Eukaryota, Metazoa, Chordata, Mammalia, Artiodactyla, Suidae. The transcript has 3 exons.
CCUCAACUCACUGAGCAAGGCCAGGGAUCAAACCCUCAACCUCAUGGUUCCUAGUCAGAUUUGUUAACCACUGAGCCGUGAUGGGAGCUCCUGAAUCAUUCUUUUUUAAAAAAGGACAGCUAUCCCUUUGCCCCACCCAUCCCCCAAGAGCAAAUCUGUACUGGGCACCUACUGUGUGCCAGAUGCCACACUGAUUUCCAGGGGUACGGUUUUUCCCUGCCCUCCCAGAGAAACCUGCUGUUUGUAACACACAGUGUGCUUAGGAAAUGUGGUGUAAGGGAGUAGUAUAGGGUCGUCUGAAAACAGAAGAAUUCAAUUUAGAUCAAGGGGAUCUAAGGAUCAAGGUCAAAGUUUUGCCUAAUGGAUGAAUAGAAAUUUGACAGGCGAAGAUGAGAACAGAUGUCCGUGUCUGCAAAGGACUGAGGCAGGAACACAGUGAACAGAGGCCCAGUGAAGACAAAACCCUGCUCCUCUACUGGGCCUUGCAAAGUGCUCGGUGAAUGCAAGCAGCACCUCUCCAGGGGCUCAGCAUUACUCAUCUUUUCUGCCUUUCGAGGAUUCUCAAGACUAGAGCAUCCUUGCUUCUGGGUGUCUGUUUCCCCAGGAACUCAGGAGCAGCAUCCAUCAGCGUAAGCCUGCCAACCCAGAUGUGCCCUCUUUACCUGCAAAUCUCAGUUGACCCCUCCUUUCACCAACAUUCCCAGAUUGCAGGCAAGCUCAACACUGGGUGAUGGGGGCAGGGGAGGUAGGGGAAGGGGAGAGUGGGAAGGGUCUUUCCUGCCCCUAGAGCUCACUCCUGAUCUGUUAAUCAUGAUUUUGGAUGACCUGCUGUGUGGUCACUCAAGAUGGCUCUUCCCUCGCUCUCUGUACAUCAUCUGCCAGACCAGCGCCUGCUUCACCCACACCUACGUCCAUGACCUUCCUGCAUGCUCACCCUAAGCCCCAGCUGGUGGUGUUCUGAUCCAAGGGGCAGUGAGAGGCCUCCCCUCCGCUGGUUUCCCAGGAAACAUUUCUCUGCUCCAAACGCAGACAUUUUGAUUGACAAGCCAGCCAGGAGCCCGUGCCUGUGGCAGGUCGACUUUGACUGGAGGUAGCUUCGUCCCUAGGUCCCCAGAGGCUGCCAGGGCCCGUUUGCCCUCCGGGACCCCUGAGAAGAAACCUCCUGACUUACGGUCGGCCUUCUUGCAUUGGGGUGCAUAUUUGUCUGGGGCAAAUGUCAAGUCAAUGAGGAUCAGAGAUGUAAGAAAGAAG